This 189-nucleotide non-coding RNA is filed under the name Pseudomonadota bacterium. Its description in RNAcentral is "6S RNA". It matches the Rfam family "6S / SsrS RNA". Rfam says of the family: E. coli 6S RNA was the first non coding RNA to be sequenced, but its function was unknown until recently. It consists of 184 nucleotides that fold into an extended hairpin structure with a large single-stranded internal bulge. The 6S RNA specifically associates with RNA polymerase holoenzyme containing the sigma70 specificity factor. The record is from RNAcentral. Lineage: Bacteria; Pseudomonadati; Pseudomonadota. RNAcentral also lists the same sequence under 2 other names.
GGUUCUCUGCCGUGUGCGAGUCGGGGCGCAAAGUCCCGAUCCAACACAUCGACCCGGGGAGCCCGCCUCCGGAGGCGGACGACGGUCCCGCGGGCAGGCGGUGCGGGCAGGUCUGAAGCCCCCGGGAGGGCACCCACCUACGAGAGUAGGGUUCGGGGACUUCGUCCCGCACGGCACGGCGGAGAAUCC